AACUUUUUGCAAUGGAUCUCUUGAAUUUUGCUUUGAUGAAGAACAUAGUGAAAUGUGAUAACUAAUGUGAAAUGCAGAGUAUUGUGAAUCAUCAAGUCUUUGAAUUAUCUUUCAGUCUCUUAAGGAGAUAAUUAUAUGUCAAUAUCAAUGUUUGGUAUGUCAGUGGAUUCUGACAUUGUGACUAUCUUGAAUCAAACAUAGUUGUAACCUAUCAUUAAAUGUGUUAUUGUGCCAGAUAUCUUUGGUUUCUAUAAUAUUUUUGACAUCCAAAAGAAGCAAUUACCAAUGAUGUGAUUGUAAUGUUUGGUGUAUACAGUUCAAUCUGUUUAGAUUUGAUGUAUGAUGGACUACCCGCUGAACUUAAGCAUAUCAAUAAGCGGAGGCU
RNAcentral lists this unclassified non-coding RNA (385 nucleotides) under uncultured Basidiomycota. RNAcentral's name for it is "sequence contains ITS2". The stretch from base 1 to 147 matches the Rfam family "5.8S ribosomal RNA". Lineage: Eukaryota; Fungi; Basidiomycota. The record is from RNAcentral.